This 484-nucleotide ribosomal RNA is filed under the name uncultured bacterium. RNAcentral describes it as "bacterial SSU rRNA". It matches the Rfam family "Bacterial small subunit ribosomal RNA", at positions 17 to 518 of the family's 1533-position model. The record is from RNAcentral.
UUAUGGCUCAGGACGAACGCUGGCGGCGUGCCUAACACAUGCAAGUCGAGCGAGGAGAUCCUUCGGGAUGAUCCUAGCGGCGGACGGGUGAGUAACACGUGGGCAACCUGCCUCAUAGAGAGGAAUAGCCUUCCGAAAGGGAGAUUAAUACCUCAUAACAUUGCAGUUUCGCAUGGAACAGCAAUUAAAGGAGUAAUCCGCUAUGAGAUGGGCCCGCGGCGCAUUAGCUAGUUGGUGAGGUAACGGCUCACCAAGGCGACGAUGCGUAGCCGACCUGAGAGGGUGAUCGGCCACAUUGGGACUGAGACACGGCCCAGACUCCUACGGGAGGCAGCAGUGGGGAAUAUUGCACAAUGGGGGAAACCCUGAUGCAAGCAACGCCGCGUGAGUGAUGACGGCCUUCGGGUUGUAAAGCUCUGUCUUCAGGGACGAUAAUGACGGUACCUGAGGAGGAAGCCACGGCUAACUACGUGCCAGCAGCCGC